RNAcentral lists this unclassified non-coding RNA (351 nucleotides) under Hevea brasiliensis (rubber tree). The record is from RNAcentral. Lineage: Eukaryota; Viridiplantae; Streptophyta; Magnoliopsida; Malpighiales; Euphorbiaceae.
AAAAUGGCUUAGGCCAUUUUGAUGGUGGGGAGCUAAGUUUCAAGCACAGUUCAAAUGCAGCUUGCCAGUGUGAUAUUCACACUCUUGGGUCCAUAAUUCUCAACAUGGUAUCAAAGCAGGUCAGGACCUAGUUUCAGUUUUAGUUCAAUUUCCUAUGUUGCCAUUGCAUUUUUUAAGUGUCAAUCGAACGUCUAGUUGCCACUUGAGGGGUAAUGUUGGAAUAGCACUUGUGGGAACAAGUCCCACAUCGGUAGCAUACUAAAAAAUUAAAGGGCACAUAAGUGUUUGCAAAACAAACAAAAAUGGCUUAGGCUAAUUUAGUGAUGGAAAGCCCAAUUCAGCAUGUAGCCU